This 231-nucleotide ribosomal RNA is filed under the name uncultured bacterium. RNAcentral's name for it is "partial 16S ribosomal RNA". It matches the Rfam family "Bacterial small subunit ribosomal RNA", at positions 109 to 334 of the family's 1533-position model. The record is from RNAcentral.
AGUAAUACAUAAUAACCUGCCCUAGACAGGGGGAUAACUAUUGGAAACGAUAGCUAAGACCGCAUAGGUACGGACACUGCAUGGUGACCGUAUUAAAAGUGCCUCAAAGCACUGGUAGAGGAUGGACUUAUGGCGCAUUAGCUGGUUGGCGGGGUAACGGCCCACCAAGGCGACGAUGCGUAGCCGACCUGAGAGGGUGACCGGCCACACUGGGACUGAGACACGGCCCAG